UAACAGAAGUCCAAUAAAUGCAGGUCUGUU
Molecule: non-coding RNA, 30 nt
Filed under: Homo sapiens (human)
Lineage: Eukaryota; Metazoa; Chordata; Mammalia; Primates; Hominidae
Source: RNAcentral